Long non-coding RNA from Mytilus californianus (California mussel), 323 nucleotides. RefSeq lists it as uncharacterized. The record is from RefSeq and is a predicted model, not a curated record. The transcript is spliced from 3 exons. NCBI's taxonomy places the organism in Eukaryota, Metazoa, Mollusca, Bivalvia, Mytilida, Mytilidae.
UGGGGUGACAGCCAAUGUCAAGACGUAUACAAAAAAGGUUUUAUUUGCAAGAGAAAAAACGGCACAGAUAGUUUUACAACAACCCCAGCCUCUACUAUGCCUACAGUGAGAGGUGGAUGUUUGGGAGGAUUCGUCAGAUCUACAUUCAAUAGUAAGUGUUAUGGAUUUUUUAAAACACAGAAAACUUGGAGCCAAGCAAAAGCAACUUGUGAAGCUCAUGGAAAGACUUAUAGUUUGGUCACUAUACAGAGCAAAUUAGAACAAAUGUUUAUAAGCAGUAUGUUGUAUGACAGCCUUGAGAUGGUCUGGAUAGGACUGACAGA